GUGGGGAAUAUUGGGCAAUGGGCGCAAGCCUGACCCAGCAACGCCGCGUGAAGGAAGAAGGCUUUCGGGUUGUAAACUUCUUUUACCAGGGACGAAACAAAUGACGGUACCUGGUGAAUAAGCCACGGCUAACUACGUGCCAGCAGCCGCGGUAAUACGUAGGUGGCGAGCGUUAUCCGGAUUUAUUGGGUGUAAAGGGCGUGUAGGCGGGACAGCAAGUCAGAUGUGAAAACCAGAGGCUCAACCUCUGGCCUGCAUUUGAAACUGUUGUUCUUGAGUGUCGGAGAGGUAAUCGGAAUUCCGUGUGUAGCGGUGAAAUGCGUAGAUAUACGGAGGAACACCAGUGGCGAAGGCGGCCUGCUGGACAUUAACUGACGCUGAGGCGCGAAAGCGUGGGGAGCAAACAGGAUUAGAUACCCCAGUAGUCC
This 428-nucleotide ribosomal RNA is filed under the name uncultured bacterium. Its description in RNAcentral is "partial 16S ribosomal RNA". It matches the Rfam family "Bacterial small subunit ribosomal RNA", at positions 354 to 796 of the family's 1533-position model. The record is from RNAcentral.